AGUGAACGCUGGCGGUAGGCCUAACACACGCAAGUCGAACGGCAGCACAGUAAGAGCUUGCUCUUACGGGUGGCGAGUGGCGGACGGGUGAGGAAUACAUCGGAAUCUACUUUUUCGUGGGGGAUAACGUAGGGAAACUUACGCUAAUACCGCAUACGACCUACGGGUGAAAGCAGGGGAUCUUCGGACCUUGCGCGAUUGAAUGAGCCGAUGUCGGAUUAGCUAGUUGGCGGGGUAAAGGCCCACCAAGGCGACGAUCCGUAGCUGGUCUGAGAGGAUGAUCAGCCACACUGGAACUGAGACACGGUCCAGACUCCUACGGGAGGCAGCAGUGGGGAAUAUUGGACAAUGGGCGCAAGCCUGAUCCAGUCAUACCGCGUGGGUGAAGAAGGCCUUCGGGUUGUAAAGCCCUUUUGUUGGGAAAGAAAAGCAGCAGGUUAAUACCCCGCUGUUCUGACGGUACCCAAAGAAUAAGCACCGGCUAACUUCGUG
RNAcentral lists this ribosomal RNA (492 nucleotides) under uncultured bacterium. RNAcentral describes it as "partial 16S ribosomal RNA". It matches the Rfam family "Bacterial small subunit ribosomal RNA", at positions 29 to 507 of the family's 1533-position model. The record is from RNAcentral.